GAUGAACGCUGGCGGCGUGCUUAACACAUGCAAGUCGAACGGGAAACCUUUUAUUGAAGCUUCGGCAGAUUUAGCUGGUUUCUAGUGGCGGACGGGUGAGUAACGCGUGGGUAACCUGCCUUAUACAGGGGGAUAACAACCAGAAAUGGUUGCUAAUACCGCAUAAGCGCACAGGACCGCAUGGUCCGGUGUGAAAAACUCCGGUGGUAUAAGAUGGACCCGCGUUGGAUUAGCUAGUUGGCAGGGUAACGGCCUACCAAGGCGACGAUCCAUAGCCGGCCUGAGAGGGUGAACGGCCACAUUGGGACUGAGACGCGGCCCAGACUCCUACGGGAGGCAGCAGUGGGGAAUAUUGCACAAUGGGGGAAACCCUGAUGCAGCGACGCCGCGUGAAGGAAGAAGUAUCUCGGUAUGUAAACUUCUAUCAGCAGGGAAGAUAGUGACGGUACCUGACUAAGAAGCCCCGGCUAACUACGUG
RNAcentral lists this ribosomal RNA (478 nucleotides) under uncultured bacterium. RNAcentral's name for it is "partial 16S ribosomal RNA". It matches the Rfam family "Bacterial small subunit ribosomal RNA", at positions 28 to 507 of the family's 1533-position model. The record is from RNAcentral.